This 673-nucleotide ribosomal RNA is filed under the name Pseudomonas aeruginosa. RNAcentral's name for it is "partial 23S ribosomal RNA". It matches the Rfam family "Bacterial large subunit ribosomal RNA", at positions 2238 to 2905 of the family's 2925-position model. Lineage: Bacteria; Pseudomonadati; Pseudomonadota; Gammaproteobacteria; Pseudomonadales; Pseudomonadaceae. The record is from RNAcentral.
AUCCGGAUCGAGGACAGUGUAUGGUGGGCAGUUUGACUGGGGCGGUCUCCUCCUAAAGAGUAACGGAGGAGUACGAAGGUGCGCUCAGACCGGUCGGAAAUCGGUCGCAGAGUAUAAAGGCAAAAGCGCGCUUGACUGCGAGACAGACACGUCGAGCAGGUACGAAAGUAGGUCUUAGUGAUCCGGUGGUUCUGUAUGGAAGGGCCAUCGCUCAACGGAUAAAAGGUACUCCGGGGAUAACAGGCUGAUACCGCCCAAGAGUUCAUAUCGACGGCGGUGUUUGGCACCUCGAUGUCGGCUCAUCACAUCCUGGGGCUGAAGCCGGUCCCAAGGGUAUGGCUGUUCGCCAUUUAAAGUGGUACGCGAGCUGGGUUUAGAACGUCGUGAGACAGUUCGGUCCCUAUCUGCCGUGGACGUUUGAGAUUUGAGAGGGGCUGCUCCUAGUACGAGAGGACCGGAGUGGACGAACCUCUGGUGUUCCGGUUGUCACGCCAGUGGCAUUGCCGGGUAGCUAUGUUCGGAAAAGAUAACCGCUGAAAGCAUCUAAGCGGGAAACUUGCCUCAAGAUGAGAUCUCACUGGGAACUUGAUUCCCCUGAAGGGCCGUCGAAGACUACGACGUUGAUAGGCUGGGUGUGUAAGCGUUGUGAGGCGUUGAGCUAACCAGUACUAAU